Molecule: transfer RNA, 65 nt
Filed under: Fistulobalanus albicostatus
Lineage: Eukaryota; Metazoa; Arthropoda; Thecostraca; Balanomorpha; Balanidae
Description: tRNA-Gly
Source: RNAcentral
GCUUAAUUAGUAUAAAAAGUAUUAUAGACUUCCAAUCUAUUGGUCCAAAUUUUCAGGAUUAAGCA